This 400-nucleotide ribosomal RNA is filed under the name uncultured archaeon. Its description in RNAcentral is "bacterial SSU rRNA". It matches the Rfam family "Archaeal small subunit ribosomal RNA", at positions 1 to 375 of the family's 1478-position model. The record is from RNAcentral.
UUCUGGUUGAUCCCGCCGGACCCUACUGCUAUCGGGNGUGGGACUAAGACAUGCGAGUCGAGCGUCUCUAGUUAUGGUGAGACGCGGCAGACGGCUCAGUAACACGUGGCUAACCUACCCUCAGGACGGGGACAAACCCGGGAAACUGGGGCUAAUACCCGAUAGGCGAGGGCGCCUGGAAUGGUUCUUCACCCAAAGGGCUUUGGAAGCAUGCUUUUCAAAGUCGCCUGAGGAUGGGGCCGCGUCCGAUCAGGUUGUUGGUGAGGUAACGGCUCACCAAGCCUAUAACCGGUACGGGCCGUGAGAGCGGUAGCCCGGAGAUGGGCACUGAGACAAGGGCCCAGGCCCUACGGGGCGCAGCAGUCGCGAAAACUCCGCAAUGCACGAAAGUGUGACGGGG